RNAcentral lists this ribosomal RNA (489 nucleotides) under uncultured bacterium. RNAcentral describes it as "bacterial SSU rRNA". It matches the Rfam family "Bacterial small subunit ribosomal RNA", at positions 17 to 518 of the family's 1533-position model. The record is from RNAcentral.
UUAUGGCUCAGGACGAACGCUGGCGGCGUGCUUAAUACAUGCAAGUUGAGCGGAGCUAAUAGUGAGUUACUUAUUAUUAGUCGAGCAGCGGACGGGUGAGUAACGCGUGGGCAAUCUGCCCUCUAGUUUGGGAUAACAGUUCGAAAGGACUGCUAACACCGAAUAAUCUUAAAUUUGGGCAUCUAAGUUUAAGGAAAGUUAACGCUAGAGGAUGAGCCCGCGUCCCAUUAGCUAGUUGGUGAGGUAACGGCCCACCAAGGCAACGAUGGGUAGCCGACCUGAGAGGGUGACCGGCCACACUGGGACUGAGACACGGCCCAGACUCCUACGGGAGGCAGCAGUAGGGAAUUUUCCGCAAUGGACGAAAAAGUCUGACGGAGCAACGCCGCGUGAGGGAUGAAGGUUUUCGGAUCGUAAACCUCUGUCCUUGGGGAAGAUAAUGACGGUACCCAAGGAGGAAGCCACGGCUAACUACGUGCCAGCAGCUGC